AACGAACGCUGGCGGCAUGCCUAAUACAUGCAAGUCGAGCGAGAUCUUCGGAUCUAGUGGCGCACGGGUGCGUAACGCGUGGGAAUCUGCCCUUGGGUUCGGAAUAACGUCGGGAAACUGACGCUAAUACCGGAUGAUGACGUAAGUCCAAAGAUUUAUCGCCCAAGGAUGAGCCCGCGUAGGAUUAGCUAGUUGGUAAGGUAAAGGCUUACCAAGGCGACGAUCCUUAGCUGGUCUGAGAGGAUGAUCAGCCACACUGGGACUGAGACACGGCCCAGACUCCUACGGGAGGCAGCAGUAGGGAAUAUUGGACAAUGGGCGCAAGCCUGAUCCAGCAAUGCCGCGUGAGUGAUGAAGGCCUUAGGGUUGUAAAGCUCUUUUACCCGGGAUGAUAAUGACAGUACCGGGAGAAUAAGCCCCGGCUAACUCCGUGCCAGCAGCCGCCGUAA
RNAcentral lists this ribosomal RNA (449 nucleotides) under uncultured bacterium. RNAcentral describes it as "partial 16S ribosomal RNA". It matches the Rfam family "Bacterial small subunit ribosomal RNA", at positions 29 to 523 of the family's 1533-position model. The record is from RNAcentral.